This is a long non-coding RNA of Anopheles darlingi, 422 nucleotides long. RefSeq lists it as uncharacterized. The record is from RefSeq and is a predicted model, not a curated record. NCBI's taxonomy places the organism in Eukaryota, Metazoa, Arthropoda, Insecta, Diptera, Culicidae. The transcript is spliced from 4 exons.
GGCGCUCGAAGUCUCCUUCCGGACGUAGAUUAUCGUCGGGACGAAUUGGCUUCGGUCGCUCUCCUGAUCGAUAUUCUGGGCGCUCAGGAGUCUGGAAGUCGCCUUCCGGACGCAGAUUAUCCUCAGGUUUGAUUUGCUUCGGUCGCUCAGCAGGUCUGUAUUGAGGCUUUUCUGGCGAUGUGAAUUCUCCUUCAGGGCGCAGAUUAUCCUCUGGGCGAACCUGCUUCGGUCGCUCGGCAGGUCUGAAUGGUGACUUCUCUGGACGCUCGAAGUCUCCUUCCGGACGCAGAUUAUCAUCGGGACGAACCUGCUUCGGACGCUCAGCAGGUCUGAAUGGCGACUUCUCUGGACGCUCGAAGUCUCCUUCCGGACGUAGAUUGUCGUCAUGGCGAAUUGGCUUCGGUCGCUCUCCUGAUCGAUAU